AAAGGGUUGUGGCAGGUUGAUUCUUUGUGCACGGCAAAUCAGUGGCUGUCUUCUUCUAUGGAGCAUGUGGCAAAGCAGGAGAAGCAAUUUGCUUGUCAGGGCAUACAAAACAUGUUCAUUCAGGUGGUCAAGUACUGGAUCAAUCGCAACAACGUUGACUCGAAACCUGUUUUUGUCAAGCUAACUAUUGUGCCUCAUUGCGAGGUUCCGAACGAUUGCAUGUUAGGAUUUAUUGGGUGAUUCAGAUUCACCCUUUUGACAUUGUAUUUAUGAGAUAAGAAUGUUUAUUGAGUUUUUGUUAACUGCUUUUUGGCAAUGGGAUCUAAUUUCCUAGCUUGUGUUUUGUUUGUACAUGUGUGUUAUGGACUUAAUUUGUUUGUGAAAUCACAUAUAUAUGAAAUUUGUUUUAUUCA
Camellia sinensis is the source of this 413-nucleotide non-coding RNA. NCBI's taxonomy places the organism in Eukaryota, Viridiplantae, Streptophyta, Magnoliopsida, Ericales, Theaceae. The record is from RefSeq and is a predicted model, not a curated record.